UCACCAUGUGGGUCAUCGCGCAGG
RNAcentral lists this non-coding RNA (24 nucleotides) under Arabidopsis thaliana (thale cress). Lineage: Eukaryota; Viridiplantae; Streptophyta; Magnoliopsida; Brassicales; Brassicaceae. The record is from RNAcentral.